GUACUACAGAUUGAAAAGCUCUUUGAGGAAAAUGGGUAUUUAAAAAGGAGCUACAAAUAAAAUCUUUUUCCUGCUCACUAAACAAAUGAUAUCUGUUAAACAGCUACAAUUAA
Long non-coding RNA from Etheostoma spectabile (orangethroat darter), 113 nucleotides. RefSeq lists it as uncharacterized. The transcript is spliced from 3 exons. The record is from RefSeq and is a predicted model, not a curated record. Lineage: Eukaryota; Metazoa; Chordata; Actinopteri; Perciformes; Percidae.